AUUGAACGCUGGCGGCAGGCCUAACACAUGCAAGUCGAGCGGAUGAAGGGGGCUUGCUCCUGGAUUCAGCGGCGGACGGGUGAGUAAUGCCUAGGAAUCUGCCUGGUGGUGGGGGAUAACGUCCGGAAACGGGCGCUAAUACCACAUACGUCCUGAGGGAGAAGGAGGGGGAUCUUCGGACCUCACGCUAUCAGAUGAGCCUAGGUCGGAUUAGCUAGUUGGUGGGGUAAAGGCCUACCAAGGCGACGAACCGUAACUGGCCUUAGAGGAUGAUCAGCCACACGGGAACUGAGAAACGGUCCAGCCUCCUACGGGAGGCAGCAGUGGGGAAUAUUGGAAAAUGGGCGAAAGCCUGAUCCAGAAAUCCGGGGUGUGUGAAGAAGGUCUUCGGAUUGAAAAGCACUUUAAGUUGGGAGGAAGGGCAGUAAGUUAAUACCUUGCUGUUUUGACGUUACCAUCAGAAAAAGCACCGGCUAACUUCGUG
RNAcentral lists this ribosomal RNA (484 nucleotides) under uncultured bacterium. RNAcentral's name for it is "partial 16S ribosomal RNA". It matches the Rfam family "Bacterial small subunit ribosomal RNA", at positions 30 to 507 of the family's 1533-position model. The record is from RNAcentral.